UUGCUGGUGAAUGACCACUGGGUCUA
RNAcentral lists this non-coding RNA (26 nucleotides) under Mus musculus (house mouse). The record is from RNAcentral. Lineage: Eukaryota; Metazoa; Chordata; Mammalia; Rodentia; Muridae.